RNAcentral lists this ribosomal RNA (402 nucleotides) under uncultured bacterium. Its description in RNAcentral is "bacterial SSU rRNA". It matches the Rfam family "Bacterial small subunit ribosomal RNA", at positions 355 to 774 of the family's 1533-position model. The record is from RNAcentral.
UGGGGAAUAUUGCACAAUGGGGGAAACCCUGAUGCAGCAACGCCGCGUGAGUGAUGAAGGCCUUCGGGUUGUAAAGCUCUGUCUUCAGGGACGAUAAUGACGGUACCUGAGGAGGAAGCCAUGGCUAACUACGUGCCAGCAGCCGCGGUAAUACGUAGGUGGCAAGCGUUGUCCGGAUUUACUGGGCGUAAAGGGAGCGUAGGCGGAUACUUAAGUGGGAUGUGAAAUACCUGGGCUUAACUUGGGUGCUGCAUUCCAAACUGGGUGUCUAGAGUGUUGGAGAGGAAAGUGGAAUUCCUAGUGUAGCGGUGAAAUGCGUAGAGAUUAGGAAGAACACCAGUGGCGAAGGCGACUUUCUGGACAAUAACUGACGCUGAGGCUCGAAAGCGUGGGGAGCAAACA